Molecule: long non-coding RNA, 517 nt
Organism: Manis pentadactyla (Chinese pangolin)
Lineage: Eukaryota; Metazoa; Chordata; Mammalia; Pholidota; Manidae
Exons: 3
Source: RefSeq, a predicted model, not a curated record
GCGGAAGUCAGGCUGUUUUCUUCCGAGAACAUGCCGCUGGACAGCUCUGGAACAUGUUGGGAACUGAGUAUUUGCAGAGGGCCAGAGUCCAGGGUCUAGGAGGGGUCCUGGAGAGUCACAGAUCUGGAAUUACCAUUUAUCGGAACAAGUCACCUGUACAACAGGACAAAGACAAUGAUGAAUGCAUCAGCUAUUUGAACAAGCAACCCUAGAACACAAGAGACAAGGCAAAUGGAUCUGGAGGCUCAGCAAACACAUUCUUUUCUUCUAGAAGCUCCAAAGGGCUAAUAAACUGUUUACAUUUAAAUAUGACAACGUUCAAGCCGAGUAAGUCAAUGUAAAUGGGUUAUGUUGGAUACCUUCUCUUCCACAGCGUCUUCCCGGGGAGUCAUGGCAUCAGGACUUUCACACAGGAAGCAAUUCCAAAGGUGGGAAACGAUUUCAAAGUUCUCCUGCCUGGUGGGGGCCCGCCACACUUCUACCCACAUUCUCUCUCCUGAAGCAGGCUCCAAUCAAC